UACGUAGGGUGCAAGCGUUAAUCGGAAUUACUGGGCGUAAAGCGUGCGCAGGCGGUUGUGUAAGUCUGACGUGAAAUCCCCGGGCUCAACCUGGGAAUUGCGUUGGAGACUGCAAGGCUAGAAUCUGGCAGAGGGGGGUAGAAUUCCACGUGUAGCAGUGAAAUGCGUAGAGAUGUGGAGGAACACCGAUGGCGAAGGCAGCCCCCUGGGUCAAGAUUGACGCUCAUGCACGAAAGCGUGGGGAGCAAACAGG
Molecule: ribosomal RNA, 253 nt
Filed under: uncultured bacterium
Lineage: Bacteria
Description: partial 16S ribosomal RNA
Rfam family: Bacterial small subunit ribosomal RNA
Source: RNAcentral